RNAcentral lists this unclassified non-coding RNA (265 nucleotides) under Hevea brasiliensis (rubber tree). Lineage: Eukaryota; Viridiplantae; Streptophyta; Magnoliopsida; Malpighiales; Euphorbiaceae. The record is from RNAcentral.
AAUCAUCAAUACCUUAGCAAAAGGGAAGAAAGAAAAAGAAUAAUCAGAGCGAGGAUGGCUGGAGAGCAAAGAGUUGUAAUUCCAAGGGUGAAACUGGGUUGCCAAGGAUUAGAGGUCUCCAAAUUGGGGUUUGGGUGUAUGGGACUUAGUGGUGGGUACAACGCCCCUGUCUCUGAAGAGGUUGGGAUUUCAAUCAUUAAGGAAGCAUUCAAUUCAGGAAUUUCAUUUUUUGACACGGCUGACAUAUAUGGAUUUCACACUAAUG